GUGGAAGUUGGGGGUAAGUAGUCGUUUCGAGGCGAUUUUCGACCGCUCCCGAAUACAGAAUUGAGCCACUACCUUGCCAAGGUAAGGGUCGAGGGUUCGAACCCCUUCUCCCGCU
Molecule: transfer RNA, 115 nt
Filed under: Candidatus Aeolococcus gillhamiae
Lineage: Bacteria; Bacillati; Candidatus Dormiibacterota; Candidatus Dormibacteria; Candidatus Aeolococcales; Candidatus Aeolococcaceae
Description: tRNA-Gly
Source: RNAcentral